GGCGGUGGACCCUGUCCUCUCUCUGGGUGCAGGGAAUGACUGUUUCUGAGCUGUUGAACCCAAACUCCCCACGUGGGACAGGGACUGCGUCCAACUCGACUUACUGGGGUCCAACCCAGCGCUUAGUACAGUGCCUAGCACAUAGUAAGCGCUUACCAAAUACCAUCAUUAUUAUUAUUAAUGAACUGGCCGCUCAAUUCUGGCAGGAGGUUCGCCAGGCGGCCGAGCCCCGGGCUAGGAGAGAAAUUCACCCGGCGGAGCUCCCUGGACUUGCUCCGCUGCCAUUUCACCUAACGGACUUCGGGGGUCGGGGCCGUCUCUAAGCUGAAACAAAGGAGCGAGCCGAGAGCGUGGGGGUCAGGCGAUGGUCGAGGCCCCUGUCGGCUUGUCUAAAAAAUGGUCAGAUCCAGCCUCCGUUAGGACCACGUUCCUCUGACUGCAGAAAGUCACGCCUUUAACAGAGCAUUUGAAAACAGCUCUCUUGAGGUCCCCGCAGAUGAUCCGUGUGGGAUGUUUGAAUAUGACUUCUGAAAUGCAGUUUAUUUAAAUUCGAACAAUGAGGAGUCAUUUGUGAUUUACAGUGAUAAUAAAAAGGGAGAGCGACUUUGAGGGUUUCUGAAGGGGCCAUAAUCCUCCGUUAUUGCUUUUUCAGUUUAAUACUCUAGGCCCAAAAUGCAUCGUUACCCUUUUACAGCCCGCCCUACCAGAACCCUUUGCGUUUGUGGGGUUUUUUUCCAGCGUGGUUUAAGGAUCCCUUAGGCCCUCUGAAAAAGAGGGAGCCCACAGAUGUGAGGUGGAGAUUUAGAAGCCUCUGUGCACCGAUCUCACCUAAUGUCGGGGGCUCUCGCUUGAAGAGUUUGAAUUCUCUUUAUCGCACUCAUUCUUUUAUUUUAGAAUUCAUAAUUUAGAUGCCCGUUAGCAUUUCGAACAGCUAGGUAGCAAGCACUGUAAUUAAACUAGAUUUCAGGGGCUGGGAGUUGAGAUCGGGCUCGGGGAAAAUGCUCCCUUCUCGGAAAUGGAAGACUGGGCCCAGGUGACCGAGGCGAGUUUAGCGUUUCCGAGCACCCAAAGCCACCCCCGCUUUCUGCUCCGGACGGAUUUGGAAUGGUUCUAGGAGGGACCGAGAAAUAAAACAUUUCUGGACAUUAGCAACGGAGGGGAAGUUAGUGUUGUUUUAAUCGCUGCUAACGAGGAACAGAGGUUAGAGGAAAUUAGGGCAAAAGCCAGAGGUCUGCUAGAAAAACGUAGGCACAAGGGGAGGCAGACUGGGGUGGCACUCUGGAAAACUGAUGGAAAUGACUCCAAGGUUUCUCCAACUUUUCUCCCUCGAGAUAUGUUCCCGACCCUGAGGCCCAGGGGGUGAGGGAAUGGGGGGGGACCCUCUGCUUCUGUCCUUGGAUCUGUGCGUAGUUUGUCUUUGGCUCGUGGUCCUGUUUGAUCCCCCCACCCCCCGUUCCUUUUCUGCCCUCAUACCUAGUUUGUCUGCCCUGAUUUACAUAAAUAUGAACUUUUAUCCCCUCUCUUAGGGGCCGGAUGCUAUCCUAACCUGGUGGUGUCCCCCAACAGAAACGUUGGGCCCCCGUACCCAAAUGGAUGCAUUUCCCCCCACCCUUCCUGAGCGAUCGAUCGGGCCUUUUCCUUCGUUCCUUUCGGUUGUAGAACCACUCAGAACUAGGAUUUAGCAGCAAAACGUUUCUUGUUAGCAUUUGGCAGGUGAGCCUGAGUUAAAAAUGUUGCUGGCUCUAAGUUAUAGCUCAUCCGUGGCUUUCCUGCGUUUGCAACGGUCCCCACUCUCUCAUAGCAGGAAAUUAGGUUGUUCUGACACGCUUUGUUCCUUUCCAACCCCAGCGGUGAUUACCCAAUCCCCGCUGACUUCUUCGGGGUUGGUACAUCGACUCAGAGCGUGAGGGUGAUUGGUUUUCCUCUGUCCACCGAGGGCCGGCCGACGUCACCCUCCUCUAGCCCUACCCUGGUCGUCCUUAAGGGCCGAGGCCUGUGUUUCUUGAGCAGGGCAGGCAGCUUUAGCUUCAAGGGGAUGCCAUUUCCCGGGACACCUAUGGUGGACAACUGGACCACUGGCCCAGUGACUGCUAAGACAGGACCCUGGCAGGGUUUCCACCCGAGAACUGGUUUCCAGCCCCAUGGCACUGUGCCCUCAGUUUCCCAGCGUCCUCAGCCACUGCUCUGCCUUUUCACCCCAGGCAACACGUCCAUCGCGAAAUGUUUUUAAACUUCAUAAAAAUAAACGUGACUUCCAAGAAGGCUCUCGUUUACUGGUGCCGGCCACUUCCCCGGAGCCCGGUGAGUAGGUAGGCGGUCUGAAAUCGUGGCUCCAACCCACUUCACGGAGGUUUGGAGAGAACACCGGGGUGCUGUGUUUUUUGGGAUGGCGAGGAGGAUGGGGAGACUCGUGUCAUAUGCUAAGAAAAUGGCGUCAGGUAAGCCACGGAAACACAAAUCCGGUGAGUAACCUACCUUUCUUGGCUACUUUUUCCCAAUUUUUAGGAUUCUUUUGUUGCUAAGUUACUCAUCUUAUAAUUGGCAGAAUUGGGCUCAAGAUACCUUAUGAUCCCCUGUUUUUUUAAAUAUGGAUGGAGAGGAGGCUUUGAGGAGGUUCACAUCAGUUUCAGAGAGGACUUUUUCCCCUUUAAAGGGAAACCAGGAAAGGCCAUUACCAAGUAAAUCUUUUUUUCUUUCGUUCAUUCAAACAAAAGUUAGCAACUACAAACCCCCUGCCCUUCUCCCAUGAAUUUUGAGCCAGACUUUUUUGGGGACUGGGUGCCUGAUGCACCACAGGUCCCAUGAUUAUUCUGUUGACGCGAGUCAGUGAAAUGUCUCCUCUUUCUGUUGACACGAGUCAGUGAAAUGUCUCCUCUAGAGCCGGGGUUCCAGAACACGCCUCCUGGUACUAGGCCCCGAAGGCUCGCCAGUGGCCACCACGCCUUUCACCAGGCGCCUUGGGAAACGCCAGCUGCAUUUCAAGCCAUUUUCUCCGACCAUUGUUGUGGGGAGGGUUGGGGAGGGAAGAAGCCCAGUGAAGGGUGCAGAUAGAAGAAAACCGAAGCAAUCACAUAAUCAGCAAUGCCAAGGAGCAGAGCCACAGACAAAAGCGAGCACUUACUGUAGCUACUUUCGCUAUCGCUGGCAUUAGAAGAAACAUGUUCUGCAAGGACAGUACAGCAAAUUAAAGCGAAUCACCAAAGCACCGCGGGGCAGCCGCAACUCAAAGGGGCGCGUGCGUUCAUGCAGGGCGGAGACGGAGGUGGGCCGAGGGAAAGCCGCAGAGAGAGCACCCUGAAAACCUUCAGGUCCGACGCUAGGCAGUGAAGAUGAAAGCUUUAUCUUGGAAUACGGUGGCUUCCCCCUCCCGCCCUUCCCGCCCCCCGCCAUAGUCAUGGCAAUAAUAUCAGGAGCCCCGGUGGCCCUGAGACCAGGGUCUUUAUUUCGUUUAGAGAACAAUGCCAGCCCCACGUAAUGGCCUUCUCAGACCCAUCCUGGCCACUCCCCUGUCACUGAUUUUUGUUUUUCCUUCAAAGUGGAUGAAAUAAGGCCCUUUGGGUCUAGACAGAUUCUUUUCAAUUACACAUAAUUUGCAGAGGGGUGAGGCUCGAGUGGUAACUGGCGCUCCUCCUUAAGCCUCCAAAUGGGCCGUGAGUCACUGGGAAAAAUCUUCCUUUUCACCACAGCAAUGGACAGGUGAGCAUCUUCAUUUCCCUUUAGCGAAACUUUCGCUAAAGUCGUAACCCUAGGGAGGAAGGGGAUGUGGUCUGAGGCAGGUGUGGCUGACGAAAACAAGGCUCGGGGAGAAUGGAGUUGGGGGACAAACAAUCUAGCAAAUCAGUUAAACAGGUCUUCCUUUUCGAUUCUCUUAUAGUAAGGCCUGGGCUCUGGGCCCCACAGAUUGACUGUCGUAAAGAUGAUUCAUUCCUUCAUUUCCCUCUGUUUCCCCACUGUAAAUUAAACUGUGCUUUUGGUUUGAACUUGUGAUUGACUGCCUCCCACCCCCAAAGGUAAAUUUUUCAGCUUUCCAAAUUCCUUUUUUAAUUGCGAGGAAUCUGUUCCCAUUUGCUUGGCUAGAAAAGCUUGCGUGGCCCUUUUGUGUUCUCCACCGGCAACGUGCCGUUUCAGGGUGUUUGAAGAGGGUACGGUGUCCCCGUGUUUUUGCUUAGAUUCAUUAAUGGGACCAGUAUAGUGAGGCCUCCCUGCGUGAAGCAAUUCUGCCCUUAAAUAAAGUUAAUUUUGGAAUGUUGCAGGAAGGAAGGCGCCCAGAGAAGAUCUCAGAGCACCGGCAACAUCACCUCUAUUAAAUCUCCGAAUUCCCAGGAGGGGGAAAGGCUCCCGGCCGACAGAUGAGUGACAUCUUCACGGCGAGUGCAUUAAUGGGCUGGGGAUCGGACCCGGUAAGCUAUUGUCUGGGAGAUCGUCUCUAGAGAUUUCAAGCUACCAACUUCCCUUCCUUCUCAUCAUGCUGCAGCUUGGGAUGGAGGCCCUGAGAUGCCAAAAAGGGCCGCUGGGGUCCAAUCGAUCCAGCCCGUCCUCCCCAGGGGACCCAGCAGGAGGGUGAAGAAUGGGGUAGAGCACCGCUCCGAGAAUGCCGCAAAUUGAGGAAGCGCCAAAUAUCCCACGGCCCACGCAUCCCGCAAGAUAAAGGUUUCAUCUCUAAGAAGAAAAGCUGCUGGGGAGGAGCGGCUUCUGCUUUCAAGAUGCGCUGGAGAAAACCGUCAAGGGUUUCCGCGGGGUGCCAAGAAAUCGGCAUCCUGCUGCCCCAGCGCAUCUCGGGGGCAGAAGCCGGCCCGGUCCCGUUUGGAUUUAGAGAGAAGAAAUGAACGGCCUCUUAAGAACCCCACUGCAAGUCAGAAAAAGAAAUCCAUCAAGGUUAGAGUCCCCAGAGAAAGCAGUGAGAGAGGGAGAACAGCCGCGGAAGAGGAAGGGAGAAGUCAGUGGAGUUGAAAUGGAUACUACCAGGAUGGACCGUGCCGACGCAGCAGUCUGGAUCCCGGCCUUCCUCCUUCCCGGGCCCCCCUGGCUCCGUCGCCUCGGGGCACGGUGGGGAGAGCCCUCCAAGGACGGGGGAAUUGUUUUGGGGUGGGGGGGAGAAGGGAGCGGGGAAGAAGCCCAGGUCACCAGGGCCUAGAGAUCGAAAAUGACGAGAAGUCGGUGGCCCUGUGAAGCCUCUUCAAAUGCAAGGGCGGCUUGGAAAAAUAAAAAGGGUCACCGUUU
This is a long non-coding RNA of Ornithorhynchus anatinus (platypus), 5220 nucleotides long. RefSeq lists it as uncharacterized. The transcript is spliced from 5 exons. NCBI's taxonomy places the organism in Eukaryota, Metazoa, Chordata, Mammalia, Monotremata, Ornithorhynchidae. The record is from RefSeq and is a predicted model, not a curated record.